GGGGGCGUCACGGUUUCGACGGGAUUGUUUGCGGCAAAGAGGCAUGCCGGGGUGUGAGCACCCGUAAUCGCUUGCAAAAACAGAAUUGCCAACACUGAAUUCGCACUCGCAGCUUAAUUAAUUAAUCUGCCGUCUGCCUGAGCUUCGCCUGUGGGCCCAGAUCAGACGUCAUACAGCAGGCUGGCUUCACACCUUCGGUCCGUAGGGGUGCGGCGAGAUCAUCGGACUAGCGCCUGACUCACCUUGUCCGUUCUGAGGGUCAGGAGCGAAGGCACUGGAACGAGACUGAGCAUGGAGCCUCUCUUUGUUACCGGCAGUUUCGGACGCGGGUUCGACUCCCGCCGCCUCCACCA
This 353-nucleotide transfer-messenger RNA is filed under the name Acidobacteriaceae. RNAcentral describes it as "EB88 sp003858395 Standard tmRNA". It matches the Rfam family "transfer-messenger RNA". Rfam says of the family: Bacterial tmRNA, also known as 10Sa RNA or SsrA, is named for its dual tRNA and mRNA-like properties. Its role is to liberate the mRNA from a stalled ribosome. The record is from RNAcentral. RNAcentral also lists the same sequence under 1 other name. Lineage: Bacteria; Pseudomonadati; Acidobacteriota; Terriglobia; Terriglobales.